This is a long non-coding RNA of Mustela putorius furo (domestic ferret), 1841 nucleotides long. Lineage: Eukaryota; Metazoa; Chordata; Mammalia; Carnivora; Mustelidae. The record is from Ensembl.
AUGGGAGGCGAGGGAGGCAGAGAGCAUUUGCGAAGGAGCUGGCCCUCCACAGGAGGACAGAGAGUCGGGUGCAAACUCGGGAAUGCGUGUUGGGCAAUUGGUUCUUUUUCUCGGUGUGACAAGAUGCAAGCUGGUCCAUGCAGCUGUGGGAUUUGCCUCCUGCAGGAUUCUGCUAGCCAAGAGCAGCAGGACCAGGCAGCCGCCCAGGGAAGACCAGAGCUCGCUGGAGAAGUGAAGGGUCAUUUCCAGGGACCCAGGCCACCACGGAUAUUCUCCUCUCCUCAGAAAGGUCCUAAACUGAUACGUUCUCUUGGGCCACUGAGAACUGCUCUGAAGUCUGACUCUGUUUUUUUGACUCGGCCAGGGAGAAACUGGCCAGGACGGUCUGCCUUACUAGUCGGUGGGUUGGGUGGUUUGCAAGCAAGUUACCCUUUGGCUAACUAUCCUUAGUACUGAAAUUUCCAAAAUUUCCUUUUGGAGAGGAUGGAUUCUCUCUCCCUCUGCCACAUAAACCCAGCCACAGUGCCAUGAAGAAGGUCCCAUCUGCUCACGGCUUCAGGCUUACAGUAUCGCGUACCCAAAUGUGCGGUGUCCAAGAACUUGGGUGUCAUGCUUCUCCUGCAGCUGAUUCAUCCCUGUGCACGCGAGUGAGUGCUGCGUAAGGAACGGGCUCACACCUCCUGAGCAUUCCAUAGGGACAUCACUUGUGACUGAAGAUCCCCUACCUCUCAAGCAUUCUCCCAUUAGCCCCAAGUCCCAUGACUUAAUCUCUCCUUGAAAUCUCUCUCUCUCUCUCUUUUUUUUUUUUUUUGCUUAAGAACCUUGCCCUAACCUCUUUAAUUUAAAGAGCUUCUUGCUUUGUCGACUCUUUCCCACCCACUUCUGCUUUGGGGUUAGAGGAACAUGGGGGGCUUCAUGUUAGGAAGAUGAGGAAAGAGAGGAAGACUCUGGAUUCUGGAAGGUGGUAGAUUGUCCCUCACCAGUCACCUUGUGACACACUCCCUCAACCCUGGGUCCUGAAACCCUUGUUCUUCAAUGUCAGUCUGCUGAGAUUUGCUGAGUUUAUGAGGCCCCUGCUUGCUCAAGAGUGUUCGUCACCUCACUGACCUCGAAAUAUAUUAAAAGGUCAUGUUCACUUGUCUCUUUCUGCUGUCUGAGGAUUUUUCUCCUUCACCGGAACAGGUAAGGGGAAGCCGUCCUGCCACAUUCUUGUCCCUGCGGAAAGCUUCGUGACUUUGCAAAGUUGAGAACGAGCUCCUUCCUGUUUUCGGAAGUGUGUGGGUCAGUAUGACCGUGCAGUGCGCCUGAACACGUGGGGCAGUCCUCUCCCACCCUGGCCACAGUGGAUACCUUCCUGGGACCCAGUGCCAGUCCUCCUGCCAAGGAAUCAGAGUCUUUUUCCCUGAUCUGGGGAACUAAACUCCCUGACCCCUGGGGCAUUUCCUGGCUCAGAACCCCUCUGAUGUCUCCACAGCACCUGUUUCUGGCUGAGGGUUGGAUAUGCAGGUUCCAGCACCUCCUGGUAUGGGGUGGGUGUUGCCCCAUGUCUGUCUGCAGCCCCUGACCUAAAUCAACAGUUUCCAUACUUUUCUGAUUAUGUACCCACACCCAUUUAGUAUAAGGUUGGAAGGGGGUACAUAGUCCCUGUGUGUUUACUUAUAAACGGCACAUGCUGUAAAUUGUAAAACAUAACUAACAUUGAGGUUAAAAGAAGGAACAGGAUGACAUAAACAACGUUUUAAUUGUUAAUUGCAGUGGCUUUGUAUGAUCACUAGUUACUCCCUCAAGGCAUAAUAUGAAUCUAGGUUUAAGGUCUAUUGUUAACAAAAAGGGAUAUAAAU